UCGGGUGUGGUGUGCGGUGCACGCUCUUUCUCUUCAUGGCAACGGAAUUGAACUGAAUUGAAAGGAGAGACCCGGGUUCGACUCCUGGCGUCCGAA
Non-coding RNA from Mycena leptocephala, 96 nucleotides. Lineage: Eukaryota; Fungi; Basidiomycota; Agaricomycetes; Agaricales; Mycenaceae. The record is from the annotation of a GenBank genome assembly.